GAUGCUUUAUAUACAUUUUUAGGUUUUAUCAUUUAAUUUUAUUUGUUUCAUUGUGUACAUAAUAAGCUCUUUGAUUUUGUAAUGCUUCUGUUUUUUUUUUCCGGAUUCCAUUGCAAUCACUCCACUUAAAUAUAAAUUUGUCCAUUGAAUUUACAUGCAAUGAUCAAUGAACACCAUAGUUGCAUGAGUUAGAUCAUGGUUGUUGAUGUUUACUAAUACAUAUUAACUUUCUUGUUGAUUACAUGCCUUGUGCUAUGGUUGGAGAAUCUUUCAUUGGAAAGGAAUUGAUGUGAGAAGCUACAAUGGUUUUUGUGUUGCACACAAGGUCCUGAAUUUUAGUUCUAGGAGUCUUUGGUGGGCUACUUACGGAGCUAUUUCUGGUCUAUUUUUCUAGUCUGCUGCAGUUUCUAGCAACUACCGCUUCCUGCAAUCCCUGUUUUUGUUCAGCUGUUGCUAUUUCUACAGGCUGUUGUUUUUGUCUUAGAUCAACAAAAACUUAUUGUGUAAGCUUUGCUCAACCGGUCUAGCAAGUGAUGUCAUCAUCAAAGUUGGAGAAAUAUCCUUCCAUCUCCACAAGAAGUGAUUUGAUGCCUUCUAUUUUAGUCAUCUCAUCUUUAAAAAAUAUGAAGAAUAUUGAUUGCCAUAUGAGCCUUUUUUGACAUAUCUACAGUUGGAAACCUUGAAGGGACAACUGAAGCAAUCGCUAAAUGAUGAUAGUUCACAACAAAGUCAGACUGUUGACAUUGAAACUUGUGACUAUUCGCUUCCUAAAACCUAUUUUGAUAAAGUAUGCAUUUUACAUUCUCAUUGUUGGUGCUGCAAUUUGGGCAACUUCUUGGGCAGAUAUCAUGUUGGAUAUGGACUAGAGAGACGGUCAACUAAAGGAUCAAGUAUUCAGAAGCAGCUUUAAACCAAUUGUUCAAAUUUGAGUUGUGUUUGCUUUCGUUGUGGAAUCGAGAUCAUUACAAGGAUAUUCAUCAACAUUGAACCUAAAUGUACUUUGAUGUUUACCUGUAAUUGAAAAUGAUCUUUUACAUAUAAAUAUGUGGUUCUUUGGCUUAA
Long non-coding RNA from Mercurialis annua (annual mercury), 1062 nucleotides. RefSeq lists it as uncharacterized. The record is from RefSeq and is a predicted model, not a curated record. The transcript has 7 exons. Lineage: Eukaryota; Viridiplantae; Streptophyta; Magnoliopsida; Malpighiales; Euphorbiaceae.